CUUCAUUCCAGCACGGUCUGAGGUCCAUUGAAACCUGAGGUGUUAAAAUGGGCUGGUGUGCAGGUGGCUUCUCCAGCUUCUCAUUAGGUUGUUUUCAGCCACAGAUUUUCCUUCAGUGAGGACAUUUACAGAGUCCUCAACAGAACUCUUCAUAAAACCACUGCUGAGCCUCCAGCUUCUGAUGAAAUCUGGCAGCUCUCAGGUGGAUGCAUGCACACAAACAUGCACAGGCACACAAAGGAGCAGGAUUGCUCAGUGGUGUGUCCCAAGUGCUCCAAGCAGAAGUGAGCAGCUUUAAGGAAUGGUGGAAGUCUUAGCUAUCUGUGUACUGGGAAAAUGAAGCAUUUGGGUAAAUAUAAUAUAUGGCUUCUGUUGGAAAAGUUAUUCUCUCUGAGAAAUGCCUUAUAAGAGAGCUACAAUGCGAGGGGAAGCU
This 433-nucleotide long non-coding RNA is filed under the name Junco hyemalis (dark-eyed junco). RNAcentral describes it as "lncRNA (ENSJHYG00000003936.1)". The record is from RNAcentral. Lineage: Eukaryota; Metazoa; Chordata; Aves; Passeriformes; Passerellidae.